GACGAACGCUGGCGGCGUGCCUAAUACAUGCAAGUUGAGCGAUGAAGAUUGGUGCUUGCACCAAUUUGAAGAGCAGCGAACGGGUGAGUAACGCGUGGGGAAUCUGCCUUUGAGCGGGGGACAACCUUUGGAAACGAAUGCUAAUACCGCAUAAUAACUUUAAACAUAAGUUUUAAGUUUGAAAGAUUCAAUUGCAUCACUCAAAGAUGAUCCCGCGUUGUAUUAGCUAGUUGGUGAGGUAAAGGCUCACCAAGGCGAUGAUACAUAGCCGACCUGAGAGGGUGAUCGGCCACAUUGGGACUGAGACACGGCCCAAACUCCUACGGGAGGCAGCAGUAGGGAAUCUUCGGCAAUGGACGAAAGUCUGACCGAGCAACGCCGCGUGAGUGAAGAAGGUUUUCGGAUCGUAAAACUCUGUUGGUAGAGAAGAACGUUGGUGAGAGUGGAAAGCUCAUCAAGUGACGGUAACUACCCAGAAAGGGACGGCUAACUACGUG
Molecule: ribosomal RNA, 497 nt
Filed under: uncultured bacterium
Lineage: Bacteria
Description: partial 16S ribosomal RNA
Rfam family: Bacterial small subunit ribosomal RNA
Source: RNAcentral